Molecule: long non-coding RNA, 6044 nt
Organism: Drosophila miranda
Lineage: Eukaryota; Metazoa; Arthropoda; Insecta; Diptera; Drosophilidae
Exons: 3
Source: RefSeq, a predicted model, not a curated record
UAUAUAUAUUUAAAUACAUAUCCAAAAGUGCCCUGAAGAGAACUCUACAGAGUUGAGAGUUUGUCGGACUUCGACUGGGGCCUGGUGGCUGGCUGGCUGUUGACUGCUUUUGUGUACGUUGCUUACCUGUCGUGUUGGCCACGUUUGUGACGAUCUGAUCAGUGCACCGUCAGCCAGCGGCGCGCUCGGUUCGUACGAGCAGAGCGCGCACCCAACAACAGCAACAAGAGCCGAACCCCACAUCCAGAGAACUAGCAAUCGCAGAGAUACCAAAGAACAAAAAAAAGUGUUUGAUAAACUGAUAAUACAAUAGAACCCAAAAGAAUAUUUUCAAUCAGAAACGAAACGUGGCGCACACCUAUAAAUAAUACAUAUACACUCGUAUAUCUUUAAACCCAAAAGACAUAUCUAUCAACUAAUACCGAUACGAAAUAACAGCGAGCGAAAAAUGCAAAGACAAAACCCCAACUAAACCUAGCGGCAAAGUGUCAAUAAAACUCUCGAAUUCAUUAACACAACUCACAAAACGUUCUAUUAGUAAGCACUUGCAAAUUUCAACGAAAAGUUCCAGCGGAAAGAUAGCUGAAAACUGCUGAAAACACUGAACGGAACUGAACUGGAGACAGAGUCCCAUACAGAUAUGAAGAUAUAUAUAUAUAUAUAUAUAUAUAGAGAGAGAUAGAGAGAGAGAGGUGGCCUAGACGAGACCAGACUAGACACAAAUUAGCGUGGCCAACAGUCAAAAGGUCUAAUAGAAGCGCGUGUAUACGAGUAUAUACCCAUAUAGCUGUAUUCCAUACCUCGUACACCUCACCGAGAGACCCCAAAAGCCAUGAUCGUAAAAAUGUCGACAAAAAAUAACCAACCGAAACGAUGGCGACGAGACGAGACGAGACGCGAGGCUUGAUGCUUUCAUGUCCUUGGCCUGUAAAAGGGCAGUCAAAUUCUUGGCACUCCAUAACAACAACAUCAUCAAAGGCAUACAGCGAUUGCAAUGAUUCCCAGGAGUCCUUUCAGCGGAACCGUAUCGGAGCCAGAGGCCAAACCCCCCGCUGACGAGAACCAGAGCAGAGCCAGAGUCGGAGCACCUCUGAGACAAAUGCUGUGGACUCUCGUCUUGUCAAUCAAUUGGCCUGUGAUGGGGCCUAGGAACUGGAACUGGAAAUGGUCGUCGCAUCGAAUGCUUCCUGUUCGGGUAAGUUGAUACGUUGGACCAGGCUCUGGGUCUGGCUUAAUGAGCGACCCCGACCCCGACCCCGAGUUGACCUCAAAGCGGACUGAAAGCAAACCAAUUUAUCAAAAUGGAAAGAAGCACUGAAACAACUCCACGCAUAAUUAAACCAAACCAAAACAGAAAUACACAAUGGAAAGGAAAAAAUGAGAAACAGCAACAGAAACAGAAACAUAAAGAUAUCCAAAUGCGUUUUUAAACCGUUGAGCAACGCCUCUUUCUAACAGUUUUGUUUUCUUUCUUUUUUCAGUUUUUUUGAGUUUUUGUUUGAUUUUUGUUUCUUUUGGUUAAUUGCCGCUUAUUAAUCUUGGCCUGGCUUGGUUCCUAGGCCAGUUUAAUGGUCUCACAAACGAAAUUCUAAUUAAUGAAAUAUUUUUCUGCCUCGAAAAAUACUUUUCUGAGCCAUUGUCUGAGCGUUCCAACUCCCCAAAACAAAAACAAAAAGGCAAUUAAUCAUAGAAAAAAAAAAAAAUAAAAGUUAAAUUUGAGAAAUGUUUCCCUCAUUUUGGUUCGUUUGGAGCUGUUGACAAAUUUCUAAGUUUCUCAGAAGAUUGACAGGAAAAUUAAGUAAUCAAUCAUUUGCUAUCAAACGAAGCCGCCUCGAAGACGUAUGGCCUUUAUGACCGACCGACCGACCACCAUAUGUGCUAGGGACUGUUAGAGCUCGGACUUGGGCCAGACUCUUAUCAACAGAUGAUGCACGUCUGGGCCAUUAUUUAAAUGUUAAUUUGCGAAAUCACGUUAGUGGAGAAUGUUGACAAAAUCUCAGCGUAGUCAGGCUAUGAUUAAGCGGCGGAUAGACACUUGUAUUAUAAUCGGUAAUCGUGGAAAAGUACAAAGGUACGAGUAUAUGGUUUUUGCGUUGAAUCUGUGACGAAGGUAGAAUGGAUGGUUUUCCAUUCUUAACCUAGAGCAAUAGCUAUAAUUCCAGAAAAAGAUGCUGUGUCAAUAUCUUUCCAUAUUUCGACAACAAAUGAAAUACCCAGAGGAUUGUUGUUUUGCUAAACCUGAUUAGUAGGUAUCCCAUAGUCGCAAUAGCGAAUAUAGCAUUCCUUACUUGUUUUCAGUUUGCUGCUGUGCUAUCUCGCAUGCGAUUGAAAUGAAAUAUAAAAUUACAUUAAAUUACCGGAUGUAAUUGCGGUGGUCGUGCCAGUCGCUCAGCUCGUCAUUCGGUCCGACUCCUCCGAGAUCUACCAGCUUGGUCAGUGAAUCAUGAUGGGGGCCCCUACACAGCACACAGCGCUCACGAAAUGCGUCGAAACACAAAAGACUCAGGCCACGAACUCGAGUCGCUCCGUGCCCGAGACCGAGCCUAAGCCUGAGCCCGAGCACUCAUGACCAAAUCAGGGGUAGAACUAUGUACGAGUACAAACAGCCCACACACUCAAAGAGUGGAAGAGGAGACCCACACACAAAGACCAACUUGAGUUGUCUUAUCAGGGCUAACGAUUUUGUCAAAUGACAAUUUCCCCAGCCACAUUGAAUGCCUCUUUUUCACGCCAUUGACUUUUGUAUGGUCCAUUUAGUUGUCAAUUAUUUUUGAUAGCCUCCGCUCGGGCAGCUGAUAAGAACCUCCUCGGAGAAUGGAGUGGGGCGACCAGACUUGUUUAACCAACAACAAACGAACGAAAGAAAGGAAAAAAACAGAUUUGGGAUUGUGGAUUGGGGAUUGUGUGUACUGGUAGCUCCAGCUACUCGUACUCCUUCUUCCUCUCUCUCUAUCUAUCUAUCUGUCUGUCUGUGCCACAUUUGCAUAUUGAACGGCAGUUUGUCUUGAGCCUGAGCUUUUAGUUAUGGCCAAACAUUAAAUUUAACUAUUAAGCCAUUUUUGGUGUCCAGUUUUGUGUGGUUCGACUUUCCAAGCGGCCACCAAACAUACCACCAAACAUUGUCCGUUGACAGUUGUACCUUAUGAGAGUCUUUUUUUCGUCUGUGCCUUUUUUUCUGGUUAAAUUUAUGAGCCAAAGACACGGGAGGACAAACAUACAGACGGACAGACGGACAGAAUGAUUAACAAGAAAUUGAGAGGCAUGGGAACUAGGAAUUGGAGGAGCUAAAAGGCCAAAAACUCACUCAAAGGUGAAGUGAAAUUUGCAGACAUUUCUGUUGCUAACUGAAUAAUAAAAUAUGUAAAUAGGUAUUCACGAAAUAGCUUUAAGUAGACUGUUUUUGAGAAUAAUCCCCUGAUGAUAGCUUGUAAAGUGUAGCAAUGUAAAGCUUUACAUUUUCGCAGAAUUAGCUCACAAAAUCCGAUACGGGAACCUCGUGAGACCUGAUUGAAUCGUACCAUUAAAGAAAUUUCAAAUUACCAUGAGAUAAAAAUCAAUUUUUUUGUUGCAACUCAAUCAAGAGGCUGCUGACCUAUAUAUGACUUCCACUUAUACAGAUAUGUACAUAUCCUCGUUACAUAUUCCCCCUUCAUAUUGAUAUUUCCCCCUGCCAUUUCCAUCUGUGUCUCGUUUGGGGUUCGUGCAACAAUUUUCGUCGAAAACAAUUUUGCAGAGCCAUGGAUCGUAUCAAAGGGGAGCAGUAUACGCAGGCAUGGGGGGGGGCUGAAGGAAAGAUCAACAGAAAAUGAGAAAUUUUUGCAGUGCAUAUGCCACGCACGUAGAAACCAAACCGAAAGAUACAACAGUAACAGUAACAAUCAGACAAUCAUGCACAUAAUCAUGCCAUCAAUAUAUGGCAAUUAUCAAUGAAAUUUAUAACAAUCCUCGAAAUGUAACGAAAACUUAACCGACCAAUAAAAAUUUCAUUUUUCAACAAGAAAGGCAGGAAAGGAAGGCUUACCACACGAACCGAACUUGGGGAUACUCUUGCAGCCAUCAUUCCUAUGAUGUCGGAGUGUAGUGAUUCGGAUUUGAUCAUCAGAUCUAGUCAUACCAUUUUGGUACAUACAUAUAUCGUUUCACUGUUGAAGUUAUUCCCGAAUGUAUACUAUGGUGGAAGAUGUUUCUUCCUUUCUGUUACAAAAUUCUGUUUAAAAUCGUAUUGCUCUCUGCAAAGGGAAUAUACUAUAGGAGGAGUCUCACGUCAAGUCCAGUCUGUUGCUGCUGCGGCUGCUGCCUCGUGCUGUGUCCAGUUCGUCAUCCUCAUUCCACAGCAACAUAAUAAUCAUGAUCAUCAUGAUCAUAAUCAUGAGCAACAUUGUUGUUGUUUGGGGACUGUGCUGUGCUGUGCUGUGCUGCUUCGCUUCGCCUUGUGAUCUGCAUCAUAAAAACGUGCCAGAUUGAUGCGUGAUUGAAAUGCCAAUUGGUUUCCAGUUGAAGUUGGAGUUCGAAUUCGAGUUCGACUUUGAGCUGGACACCAAUUGUUUCGGCGUGUGUUUGUUUGAGUGUGCGUUCUUUGUACCGUUAUGCCGCUGGCCUGUGUUGGCGUACCCGACACCAUUUUUCCACCUUCUCCAUCAUCUUUUUCCCGAUUACAAUCAGCAUUGUCAUCUUAGACAAUUAGAGCAAGACAAUAUAAGAUUUCGGUUUUAUGUUAGAGCAUUUGACUACAAAGAAGAGGGAUUAUUAGGUACUGGAUAAACGGAACAAACAGCAUUUGUAGCAAACUUAUGAUUAUUAUACUAUAAAGGGUUAAAAUCCAGCAUGAAAUUUAUUUGAUAUGCUGUAAAGCAGGUGCUGCCUUGUUUGCCCAGUACUUAAAGAAGAGAUGUAGCAGAAAGAGAACAGAACACAGCAAGAGAGAGAGUUAAAUCGAUCCGCUAGAUAAACAGUUAGAGCUUCACCCAUAUAAAGAAAAGUAGCGAGAGGAAGAUGGGAUGGCAGGAAAGUCAGAAAGAGAGAGAGAUUUCCGUUGACCGCUUACCGUUGGGCGAUGUGUUGUUUUUGUUUUUUUUUUUGUCGCCAUGACCAUGACUUGUGGAUGUACACAGUCGUUGUUGUUUCUUGGGUCCCAUGUGUGUCAUGCUCUUCACAGAUUUUACUGAGCUUUUCCAUAAGGUUUGUAACGGAUGUGGCCAAGAAUGACAAUCAAUGUAUCGAUAACAGAGAAUUUCGACUGCCGUUAAUUUAAUUCAUAUUUAAUUAUUUCUUUUAUACACAUUCAUCAAUCAACAUUCCAUAGGAGAGUAUUCCCAGUUCGUUCUGGAUGGAAUUCCUAUUAAUAUGCAUUCGAGAUGCCGCUGUCACCGCCGCCUGAUGAAUGGAAGUCUGCUGGCGCCACAAACCAGAGAACUAUCAAACUCCUCUUACAAUCUUACCAUAUAGGGCAACGGCAAGCCGAUCGACUCCUCCUCCGUGGAAAUAUCAAUGCAACCUAACAGCCACAGCCACAGCCACAGCCGAGGAUGGACUGCCACUGCCACUGCCUCAACAGCAUCAGCCACUUGCUGCUUCUGCUCCUGCUUCUGCCAGCAACUUCCUCUCUUAUCUCCGACUACAAAUUGACCAUUUCAAUUAAUGAAACGCACUUAAACAUUAAAGAGUCGGUUGUCUGUUGGUCGGGGGACCUCUGGCUCUUCGUAUGAGUGUGUACUCAAGUGUCGGCACUAAUGAACAUGGCGAAUCGUUAAAAAAACAACUUCUUUCUUUCCUUUACCCUUUCCUUGGCUUAUCCUCCUACUCGAGCCGCCGCCUCGUCCCGCUCACAUUUGCAUAUUUUGUUGUCGAGAUUAAGCGCGUAAAUUUGUCGUUAAAAAUCAUGUUUGAGAUCGGCAAUGGAGACACACGCGAUUAUACACCUAGACAGGGGUGUGGACAGGAUAUUUUUUGUUUCAUUAAGGGGGGCUUGAAAUUGAUUAAUGCAGGAAAACUAAAAAUUGUAAUAAAUAUUUUAUAUUUCCUUGAUCCUUAAUAGCAAAAAAAAA